AAUUCUGUAGAUUGGGAACUGCGGACGUAGCGUUGCUGUUGGUGUCGUCAGUAUUCUCUGGCAACGUUUGACCGUUUUCAGUCUGCGCAUUGUGAUCGGGAUGGAAAAUUCCAUUUAAAUUAAGCAGGUUAUUAUUACCGCUAGGACGGAACAUAGACUCAAGAACAGCUGGUAAAUCGGCUAAUGAAGGAAGACCAUGGAACGUCAUUAACUGUGUAAAAGGCCUUUCAGAUCGAUUCGUAUUUGCAGGGAUAUUUGUUUGGCUUCCAGGAAGCCAUGAAGUUGAUUCAGGCGAAGCCGUUGGAAGAUUUAGCAAAUUGGGAGGCUGUAUUGAAGGUGACGGCUCAACUGGUCUAGCUGGAGCAUUUUGAGAGGGCAAGUUACUAGUUGGCAAGUCUGUGGAAGUACUAUUCGUCAUACUACCAGAAUUAGAGGUAAGAUUCGAAGUCAUAGGUUCAUUAGAGGAAGGGCGAUCAGGCAUAGAUGAAAAGAAAGCAUUAAAUAAGGACGUAAGCGUCGAAGGACGAGAAUCCGAAGGAGUAGUCUCUUGUCUAGAGCUAGCAUUUUCGGCAUCAAUAGAGGCACCUUCUCCUGCUAAGGGCUCACUACGAGUAGUAGGUGUUGAGGUGUUUGAGUCAGGGUUUUCAGGGUGAGUAUUUUCAACAGGGGUAUUGGUGGCAGAUCGAUUUGGAGCUAGAAUAAAACGUAUUCGGUUAAAAGCAAUGCGAUGCAGUUGCCGAGCUGGUUCGUCUACGCCGGUUCGACCAUCAGUGUUUGCAUUGUUAAGCUCCUCAGAUGGAUGAAAGUCGGAAUGAACACCAUUUGAUGCAUUUUCUUGAGAAACCGCGGUGUUGCCUUGGUUGCCACGAAGCGUAUGUGAGUGUGGAAUGAUAAAUAAAAUAGGAGGAUGAGCUGAACCUACUGUUUCGUGGGGAACCUCUUUUCUACAAAGAGGACAUGUACAAUGAUUUUCAAGCCAUUUUUGUAAACAAUUUUUACCGAAUAUGUGGCCACAUGGCAUCUUGGUAGCCUGCUUUUCAUCAUUUUCAUUCAUAUCAUCGUAACAGAUCGGACAAGUCAAAUCCAUCAGUUGGUCAUUAGACAAAGGUUCGAAAGAAUCCCAGGCUUCUUUUACAGCGCGUUUUACGGGUGGUUGAAAGGGAUUGGCAAACGGAUCAUUUUCUCCACCCUCGAAAUUGGCUUGAGGAGUUAUGAUAAACAUUGUACCAAUUGAAAAAGCAACUGGUUGAGUCCCCGUGGUAGGGUGGGUACCUUCUUCACCCUCAGUUGCUUCA
Non-coding RNA from Schizosaccharomyces pombe (fission yeast), 1295 nucleotides. The record is from the annotation of a GenBank genome assembly. Lineage: Eukaryota; Fungi; Ascomycota; Schizosaccharomycetes; Schizosaccharomycetales; Schizosaccharomycetaceae.